Molecule: ribosomal RNA, 253 nt
Filed under: uncultured bacterium
Lineage: Bacteria
Description: partial 16S ribosomal RNA
Rfam family: Bacterial small subunit ribosomal RNA
Source: RNAcentral
UACAGAGGGGGCAAGCGUUGUUCGGAAUUACUGGGCGUAAAGGGCGCGUAGGCGGCCUUCUAAGUCGAACGUGAAAUCCCCGGGCUCAACCCGGGAACUGCGUCCGAUACUGGAAGGCUUGAAUUCGGGAGAGGGAUGCGGAAUUUCAGGUGUAGCGGUGAAAUGCGUAGAUAUCUGGAGGAACACCGGUGGCGAAGGCGGCAUCCUGGACCGGCAUUGACGCUGAGGCGCGAAAGCCAGGGGAGCGAACGGG